Molecule: ribosomal RNA, 182 nt
Filed under: Paenibacillus polymyxa
Lineage: Bacteria; Bacillati; Bacillota; Bacilli; Caryophanales; Paenibacillaceae
Description: partial 16S ribosomal RNA
Rfam family: Bacterial small subunit ribosomal RNA
Source: RNAcentral
UUAUUGGAGAGUUUGAUCCUGGCUCAGGACGAACGCUGGCGGCAUGCCUAAUACAUGCAAGUCGAGCGGACUUGAAGAGAAGCUUGCUUCUCGGAUAGUUAGCGGCGGACGGGUGAGUAACACGUAGGCAACCUGCCCUCAAGUUUGGGACAACUACCGGAAACGGUAGCUAAUACCGAAUA